Molecule: long non-coding RNA, 1372 nt
Filed under: Monodelphis domestica (gray short-tailed opossum)
Lineage: Eukaryota; Metazoa; Chordata; Mammalia; Didelphimorphia; Didelphidae
Description: lncRNA (ENSMODG00000050623.1)
Source: RNAcentral
CUAAGUUUUGAAGUCUUGUAUGCUUGCAAAAGGUAUCCUUCCUGAACCCCAAGGAUAUCCUUUCCCACCCAUAACAUAAAGUGGCCAACAUUUUUGGCUCUCCUGAAAGCUACUCCUGAACUCCGGAUUGUCCACGAGGAUACAGCUUUUCAGGUAGGAAGGAGCCUUUUCUUUGACUCCUGAAAUCCCCAUCUUUUGGGUGAUAUCUUUGUGGGAACUCUUUCGUGCUCUCUCUCCCAUAAGCCCCAGAUCAGUCUGGCCACUGGAGUUUGUAACAGUUAAAAUUUAGGGGAGAUGGGGAGACUGAGGCAUCUGAGGCAGGUAGAAAUUAGUUUCUCUCUGCAAGGAGUAUUAUAUUUUUUACAGGUUUAUUAGAGGUUAAAGAUUAAAGAAUAUACAAGUAAGAAACAUGUGCCUAGGCCAGAGGCCUAGACAAAGUAACCUCACAUCAUGGAAGAGACGCAUCUGCUCCAAAAUGGAAGUCCAAAAGAGAGCCAAGAGAGAGACCUCUCAAACGCCUUUGAAUCAGCUUAAAUACCUUCUCGAUCUCCGCCCAGCUGAGCACCAUUAAGAAAAAUGGACUUCCGGGUAAACAUGGCUACAAUCUAGAUGUGACUCUCUUCCUCUCCACGGCACCAAAUGAAAUACACUACCUCAAAAGAGCAUAAAAAUCACCUUUGGAAGAACAGAGGGACUCUCCAGUACCCCACAGAAACGAAGGUACAUGGGGCUUGAACAUUUCCACACUAUAAGAAGGAGGAAAAUCUUGCACAAAAACGUGAACUGACUGACUUCCAGUCAAGAUGGCGGCUUAGAGAAAGCUAAAGUUCAGAUCUCCUGAAACCCUUCCUUACCGAUCUCAAACCAAAUGCUCCUAGGACACCGAAAUUCAAAACGAUCAACAGCAUAGACCCUGGGAGUCCUCCUCCUGGACCUGGACCUGGAUCAAAAGGUACGCGCCCCCCCCCCAAAAGCCAGAACCCGAGACCACUCGGACCUAAAGGGUAGGCAGAAGGAAGGUCCUAGGACCCAUCCCCCCUAACCCAGAGCUCUGAGUCCAAGUCCGAGGCAGCAGAGGCAACCUCAGAGCCCCACGGCCUACUAUUCUGAAGGCUACUUCCUGAAAACAACCUUACCCAGUGGAGGGGGCACCCAGACAGCAGGGAAACAGAGAGGGAUGGGGGAAGCUCAUAACACCCUGGGAGGAGCCCUCGGAGCUCUGGAAAGCCAUGGUCCCUCCCCCUCAGAGAGCAGGGUCUUCUGAAACAACAGCAACCCUCAGGAUUGGCAAACAGGCCUUGGGAGCCGGCUAUACUGAAGGCCACAUCCUGAAAACAACCUGACCCAGUCCCGGGGGCACCCAGACAGCAGG